RNAcentral lists this ribosomal RNA (775 nucleotides) under uncultured Neocallimastigales. Its description in RNAcentral is "partial large subunit ribosomal RNA". It matches the Rfam family "Eukaryotic large subunit ribosomal RNA", at positions 26 to 640 of the family's 3401-position model. The record is from RNAcentral. Lineage: Eukaryota; Fungi; Neocallimastigomycota; Neocallimastigomycetes; Neocallimastigales.
CGUCUAUAUACGUAUAGCAUAUCAAUAAGCGGAGGAAAAGAAACUAACAAGGAUUCCCCUAGUAACGGCGAGUGAAGCGGGAAGAGCUCAAAUUUGAAAUCUUAAAGGGUUUCCCUUUACGAAUUGUAGUUUAAAGAAGUGUUUUCUGUUGGAGUUUCGGUAAAAGUUCUUUGGAAUAGGACAUCAUAGAGGGUGAGAAUCCCGUAUUUGACCAUUAUUUCCAACUUUGUGAUACACUUUCAAAGAGUCGGAUUGUUUGGGAAUGCAGUCCAAAAUGGGUGGUAAAUUUCAUCUAAAGCUAAAUACUGGCGAGAGACCGAUAGCGAACAAGUACCGUGAGGGAAAGAUGAAAAGAACUUUGAAAAGAGAGUUAAACAGUACGUGAAAUUGUCAAAAGGGAAGCGUUUGACACCAGUGUUGUUUUCUCGAAAAUCAAUUAAAAAUGGUGGGAUGUUGUGUUGUAUUGACUUUAUCAGCUUUCUGCACUUUUUUUCCUAUCUUUUUUAAUGCACUUUUCGUUUAACAAGUCAACAUCAAUUUCUUUUGUUGUAAAAGAGUCAUUGGAAGGUGGCUUUCUUUUCGGAGAAAGUGUUUAUAGCCUUUGGCUUCUGCAAUCGGAGAGAUUGAGGUCUGCAGCGUAGAUCCUUCGGGGUUAGAUGCAUUUGUGCUAAGUUAUAGCCUUUCAUAGACAACUUGUUGACUAUGAUCAGUCAUGUAGCUUACUCGCUUAUGUCAUUUUACCUACGCUUAGGAUGUUGAUAUGCAUGACUGAUAU